GUCUAGGAAAAUAGUUGAAAGUUACAAAAAUACUCCGAGGAUAGCUCAAAACGGAAAGUUCCUAAUCAUAUUGCAAAAUAAAAAGCUCAAACACAUCAAACAACUGACAUACACUAUCAUAUUUCUGACCUGAUACAAUCAUUUUUUGAAGCAAACAUUGUGAUUUAAACCUGGUUUUAUAACUAGCUGAACAGGGAAUUUUUCAAGCACGAUUGUGUUGUCCUUCCUUUAAACUCAUAAAACGUUUUGAAUGAAUAUAAUCAUACCAAUGACCUUAAGCUAAUACUAUUACCCUUCACAUAGAUAUAUGCUUAAAGACAAACAAGUAUUAUAUUCCGUUAUAUUCAAAUUGACAUAAUAGUCAUCAUGGUUCAAUUAAUAAUGGGUUCAAUUUCAAAACAAAA
RNAcentral lists this long non-coding RNA (404 nucleotides) under Mytilus galloprovincialis (Mediterranean mussel). The record is from RNAcentral. Lineage: Eukaryota; Metazoa; Mollusca; Bivalvia; Mytilida; Mytilidae.